CUUCCCUCACAGCAUUACCAUAUCAGGGGAGAAAACUGUACAGUGGGAAGAUGAGAGUUAAACAUACAGAAAUUACAAAGAGGGAUCUCCAAGAUGGAAAUGGAGCAAACAUUUGAACAAGGAAAAAGCUGUUGCUAGCUAGACAGCAUUUAUUGCCCAUCCCUAAUUGCCCAGAGGGCAAUUAAGUAUCAACCACAUUGCUGUUGGUCUGGAGUCACAUGAAGGCCAGACCAGGAUGAGGACAUCGCUGGCCAGGCAGCAUUUAUUGCCCAUUCCUAAUUGCCCAGAUGGCAGAUAAGAAUCAACCACAUUGCUGCGGACCAGGAGUCAAC
This is a long non-coding RNA of Stegostoma tigrinum, 332 nucleotides long. RefSeq lists it as uncharacterized. The record is from RefSeq and is a predicted model, not a curated record. NCBI's taxonomy places the organism in Eukaryota, Metazoa, Chordata, Chondrichthyes, Orectolobiformes, Stegostomatidae. The transcript has 4 exons.